This 497-nucleotide ribosomal RNA is filed under the name uncultured bacterium. Its description in RNAcentral is "partial 16S ribosomal RNA". It matches the Rfam family "Bacterial small subunit ribosomal RNA", at positions 28 to 507 of the family's 1533-position model. The record is from RNAcentral.
GAUGAACGCUGGCGGCGUGCCUAAUACAUGCAAGUCGAGCGAACAGAUGAGGAGCUUGCUCCUCUGACGUUAGCGGCGGACGGGUGAGUAACACGUGGAUAACCUACCUAUAAGACUGGGAUAACUUCGGGAAACCGGAGCUAAUACCGGAUAAUAUAUUGAACCGCAUGGUUCAAUAGUGAAAGACGGUUUUGCUGUCACUUAUAGAUGGAUCCGCGCCGCAUUAGCUAGUUGGUAAGGUAACGGCUUACCAAGGCAACGAUGCGUAGCCGACCUGAGAGGGUGAUCGGCCACACUGGAACUGAGACACGGUCCAGACUCCUACGGGAGGCAGCAGUAGGGAAUCUUCCGCAAAGGGCGAAAGCCUGACGGAGCAACGCCGCGUGAGUGAUGAAGGUCUUCGGAUCGUAAAACUCUGUUAUUAGGGAAGAACAAAUGUGUAAGUAACUAUGCACGUCUUGACGGUACCUAAUCAAAAAGCCACGGCUAACUACGUG